Molecule: ribosomal RNA, 468 nt
Filed under: uncultured bacterium
Lineage: Bacteria
Description: partial 16S ribosomal RNA
Rfam family: Bacterial small subunit ribosomal RNA
Source: RNAcentral
GACGAACGCUGGCGGCGCGCUUAACACAUGCAAGUCGAACGGAAAGGCCCUGCUGUUGUGGGGUGCUCGAGUGGCGAACGGGUGAGUAACACGUGAGUAACCUGCCCUUGACUUUGGGAUAACUUCAGGAAACUGGGGCUAAUACCGGAUAGGAGCUCCUGCUGCAUGGUGGGGGUUGGAAAGUUUCGGCGGUUGGGGAUGGACUCGCGGCUUAUCAGCUUGUUGGUGGGGUAGUGGCUUACCAAGGCUUUGACGGGUAGCCGGCCUGAGAGGGUGACCGGCCACAUUGGGACUGAGAUACGGCCCAGACUCCUACGGGAGGCAGCAGUGGGGAAUAUUGCACAAUGGGCGGAAGCCUGAUGCAGCAACGCCGCGUGCGGGAUGACGGCCUUCGGGUUGUAAACCGCUUUCGCCUGUGACGAAGCGUGAGUGACGGUAAUGGGUAAAGAAGCACCGGCUAACUACGUG